GCCUUGAUGGUGAUAUGGUAGACAUGCGAGACUCAAAAUCUCGUGCUGAAGAGCGUGGAGGUUCGAGUCCUCUUCAAGGCA
Molecule: transfer RNA, 81 nt
Filed under: Triticum aestivum (bread wheat)
Lineage: Eukaryota; Viridiplantae; Streptophyta; Magnoliopsida; Poales; Poaceae
Also listed under: 1 other name
Rfam family: tRNA
About the family: Transfer RNA (tRNA) molecules are approximately 80 nucleotides in length.
Source: Rfam by way of RNAcentral